UUAUAUUUAGUAACAAAACUUUUUUUCACAGCCUGAGAGAAAGUAUCAGACUGUAGGUCUAGAAACUUUGGACAAUACUGCAUCCAGAUGCACUUUCUGCAAAUACAUGGAGACCAGAGCCUGAGGUUUUGAAUUAUGAACCCUGAUGAGUGUAUUUUUAAAUCUGACUUUUUAUAACAGACAAAGACCACUGCAAGCCUGGGGCUGACAGAGCCUUAUAAAGAGCUGAAGAAAAGAAUGUAUACUCAAGGAGAAGCUGCACAGGAGAAAGCUCUGAAGCGCUGCUGCACCCUGAAAGUUUUUACCUAGC
This is a long non-coding RNA of Rhea pennata, 310 nucleotides long. RefSeq lists it as uncharacterized. The transcript has 3 exons. Lineage: Eukaryota; Metazoa; Chordata; Aves; Rheiformes; Rheidae. The record is from RefSeq and is a predicted model, not a curated record.